RNAcentral lists this long non-coding RNA (664 nucleotides) under Homo sapiens (human). RNAcentral's name for it is "non-protein coding lnc-ARRDC2-4:1". The record is from RNAcentral. Lineage: Eukaryota; Metazoa; Chordata; Mammalia; Primates; Hominidae.
GGUCAUGGCAAGCACAGCAGUGAAAUUCCUGCACCAGGAGGGGGCCCGGGCCAUGGAUGAGGAGUUGUUUCAUGAGUACCAGCAUGGCCCAACUUACAGAACUGGCUGGACUCAGCUGUUCCACUGUCAUUGCCAAGGCAUAUCCUCCCAUAUCCAUGUCCCGAUCAUCCAUGGCCCAGGGAAUAAUGGAGAAGGUAGCCUGCUCUGUGCUUGACACCUCAAACAUUUUGGUCACCAGCCAAUCAUCUUUGACCCCAAAAGACCCAACAAGCCACUCUACACUAUGCUUGGUGACCCACUGUCAGGAAAGGGGCAUUCUUUUGCUUGGUGAAGUGCCCCCAGAGCCCACGCUGAUCAAUGAGCUGUAUGGGCUGGGGGUGGAUGCCAUCUUUGGCUUCAGCUUCAAGGGCAAUGUUUGAAAGCCAUUCUGUAACAUUCUGAGUGUCCUGAAUAGACUCACUGUGCCACUGCCAAUGCUGACAUUCCCUUGGGAUGGGACAUGGAGAAGGAAAACUCCGGAGGGAUCCAGCCAGACCUGCUUCUCCCCCUGAUAGCACCCAAAAAGUCUGAAACCUAGUUUACAGAUUGCUACCACUACUUGAGGGGUUGUUGACUACCACCUGCUUGGGAAAAGAAGUACCAGCUAAAACCUGCCAUUGUACCC